AGUGCUUGUCUUGCAUGCAUGGGGCACUGGGUUCCAUCCUCAGUACCACAUAGAUAAUAAAAUAAAGGUAUUGUGCCUAUCUACAACUUAACAAAAAGUCUUAAAACAACAACAACAACAUCAACACUAUUUAGGGCCAGGGGUGGUGUGUAGCUCAGUAAUAGAGGGCAAGAAGCCCUGUGUUCAGUCCCCAGCACCACACACACACACACACACAAACAACAACAAACACCACAACAACUUUUUCCUCAAGAUUUUGCCCAUCUGUAGGAAGUUAUGGUUCUUUAUUGAUAUUCUGAGAGUUGUAUUCUGAACAGGAGACCUAAUUCCCUUAGUUGUUUUUUUUUUUUUUUUAACCAGAUUGGUUUACUUUUGCUAGGAACAAUGAGAGAUUUUUUAUUUUUAUUUUUUUAAGGUUCUGCCUUGAUUACAGUUUUUAUCCCCUUCCUGGGACUCUGAUAAGGGAAAGUGAGAAGAACCAGGUAGGAAGGAGACACAGUAUUGAAUGCACAGGCCUCCCUGACCCCAGGCUAGGACCUUAGUGGCAGCUUGGCUGAACUUUGGGGACCCUGCAAAGACUUGGGUGUAUCCAGUGAACAAGCCAUGCAUUUACCAAGCACCCUGUCCUCUUUCUUCUACAUGGAGGACUCAACCCCAUUUAUUUCAGGACUUUCUAAAGAAGAAUGAGCUGCACUGGACAUUACCAGCUAAUUACUGGUAGAGAGGAAACUUUCUCUCAAAGAAAUGAACUCUCCUUGUGCUAACUAGGCUUCUCUCCUAACCCUUGGUAGGCCCAGGAGAAUUCUGGGGCCCCAUCUGUGUCUGCAAAGUCUUUUACACAUUUCGUGCAGUGCUCAGUAGCUUUUUUGAUUAAGUUUAUUUUAUACUCUGAGUCUGUCAAGGAGAGGUGCUUAGCUUGUUGCUGAAAGGGGCAGGGACUGGUGUAUAAAUAAUGAGAACUCAGAGAGACUCGUGUUAUUAACAGCUCUGCUCCAGUAAGGCAGAGUUUAUUGUGUCAUUGCCUCUGGGUGUGUUUUCCUGUGAAGGCCAGAAAUAAAACACUGGUACAAGUCUUUUUUUUUCUCCUAGGAGGAUGGUAACUUUCAUUAAUACUAAAGAGAGGUUUAAAGAAUCUCUCUUUGAUAAUUGUUUGUUAUAUGAUGUGUUUGGUGUGAAGAAGGUUGACCAUUUUCCUUUGGACCUUACCAUUGAGCCAAAAGAAAGUGAGGGCCUGACUUGGUUUCCCCCCCAGGUUGUGUGAUGAAGGGCAAGUUACAAUCCUGAAGACCUCUCUUUUCCUCCUCUUGGGUCCCAUUCAGCUUUCAGUCCUCUCUACAUAUGAUUUCCUCAUGCCUAUAUGUUCUUUGGUGCAGACCACGUAUCUUUUUUUGUGUGUGCAAUGAUGGAGAUUGAACCCAAGGCCUCACGCAUGCUCUGCCUUGAGCCACAUCCCCAUCCCCAAACCACAUAUCAUUCUUGGUGAUACUUUACUGUGUGUCUGACAUUUACUAAUGUGCUAGAAUGUAUCCCAUAAUGAGUUAUAUGCAACCCUCCACUGGGAUAAAGGAUUGGAAAUUGUAGGUCUUCAAGCAGAGUCCAGUCUGCAUACACACUGCUGGCUGGUGCCAUGUUUUAUAAAGAGUUGAAUUUGCACACCUCUUAGUGGGGAAAGCACUCUUCAGGAGACCAUGGAUUUCAUUGCAACCUGUGAUUGAACGCAAUUGGUGCUGGACUCAUUUUAUUAUGUGCCUUGAUCCUGAAGAUAUUUGAAUUUACAAACUCUACUACUAUAUAAGUGUCAUGGUUCAGAUCUGGAUUGUCCCUUAAAAACUCAUGUGCGGAAGACUUGGUCACCAACAUGGCAAUAUUCAGAGUUGGGGAUUUUGAUAAGUGACUGGAGCAUGAGGGCUCUGACCUCAUCAGUGGAUUAAUCCAUUGAUAGCUAAAUGGACUACUGAGAGGUGGUAGAAACUGUAGGCUGGGAGGGCAUGAAGGAGGAAGUAGGUCAUUGGGGCAUGCCCUGAGGGACUAUAUCCUGUCCCUGGCAUGGUAUAUGUUUCUCUCUCUCUCUCUCUCUCUCUCAGCUGCCAUGAGUUGAUCAACUUUCCUAUGCCAUGAUGUUUCCUGCCUCAGAACCAGCCAACCAUGGUCUGAAAACAUGAGCCAAAAUAAACCUUCCCUCCAUUAAAUUGUUUAUGUCAGAUAUUUUGGUCACAGUGAUGAAAAGCUGACUAACACAUCAGGUAGAGUUCCAAAUCUUCUGAUCGAGAUCAGUGACCAGACAGCUUUCUGAGAAGGGUCAGAUAGUAAAUAUUUUCAGCUCUUCAGGCCAUACAGUUUCUGUCACAACUGCUCAACACUGCUGUGGUUGAGAGAACAGCCACAGAUAAUAGUUGAACUAGUUGUGUGUGAGCUUUUUUUCAGUAAAACUUU
RNAcentral lists this long non-coding RNA (2433 nucleotides) under Marmota monax (woodchuck). The record is from RNAcentral. Lineage: Eukaryota; Metazoa; Chordata; Mammalia; Rodentia; Sciuridae.